This 165-nucleotide ribosomal RNA is filed under the name Achillea membranacea. Its description in RNAcentral is "5.8S ribosomal RNA". It matches the Rfam family "5.8S ribosomal RNA". From Rfam's summary of the family: 5.8S ribosomal RNA (5.8S rRNA) is a component of the large subunit of the eukaryotic ribosome. The record is from RNAcentral. Lineage: Eukaryota; Viridiplantae; Streptophyta; Magnoliopsida; Asterales; Asteraceae.
ACUAACGACUCUCGGCAACGGAUAUCUCGGCUCACGCAUCGAUGAAGAACGUAGCAAAAUGCGAUACUUGGUGUGAAUUGCAGAAUCCCGUGAACCAUCGAGUUUUUGAACGCAAGUUGCGCCCGAAGCCUUUUGGCCGAGGGCACGUCUGCCUGGGCGUCACGC